GAGGGUAUAGCUCAGUGGUAGAAUCCAUGCCUAGCAUGCACGAGGUCCUGGGUUCAAUCCCCAGUACCUCCA
Molecule: transfer RNA, 72 nt
Filed under: Camelus bactrianus (Bactrian camel)
Lineage: Eukaryota; Metazoa; Chordata; Mammalia; Artiodactyla; Camelidae
Also listed under: 2 other names
Rfam family: tRNA
About the family: Transfer RNA (tRNA) molecules are approximately 80 nucleotides in length.
Source: Rfam by way of RNAcentral